Molecule: long non-coding RNA, 3951 nt
Organism: Scylla paramamosain (green mud crab)
Lineage: Eukaryota; Metazoa; Arthropoda; Malacostraca; Decapoda; Portunidae
Exons: 9
Source: RefSeq, a predicted model, not a curated record
AAUUAUUUCUGUAUAUUGCUCGUUUCAUAUUUGUUUGUUUCAUAGUAUUUGCUCGUUUCAUAUGAUAACUACCUAGGAAUAAUGAGUGUUAAUGAGUGUUUCAUUUGUGUAUGAAUCCCUCGAGCGGUAAACCGAGGGAAGGUAGCUCAGGGAGGGAGGUCAAGCCGGCAGUCUAUCUGUGGUAUAGCAGCCGCACACACCUUGUUGGAUUUAAACCUGUGGGUUUAUUCCCUGUGAGCGCCAGAGAUUGAGAACGAGGAUGUGAGUACCUGGCUAGCCUUUCACCUCGUGUAUUCGAGAAGGAUGAGGAGCGAAGCAAUGGGGCAGAGAGUCAGCGAGCCAGCGAGUCAGCAGUGGACGCUCUUAAUAUACAGCAGAAAAAACAAGCCUGGGAGGAAAUGUGCUGAAAUGGAGAGUUGUGAGCUGAGGUGGGCCAGACAUCAGCUCACGACAUUGCUGGAGCACGCGGUGUUGCCGCUUCUUCCAUGUGAAGAGCGUAUGGCUUGAGAUACCGGUUUGCGCGCGCAUUUCUCUGCUGUGGCGUGUUUUGUGGCUCCUCGCUGAACACUUCUAUUUCUUGACGCUGUGAGUUGGGCUACUUUGACGGUGACUUGAACACUACCACACUGGGCUGCUGUGUGUGUGAGGAAGGUGUGGUGGAGCUGUGAAGUGUGGCUGAGGUGGUGGAGGGAAGCAAGCUGUGCGUUACCCUACAACCACCACCACCGCCGGCAUGUCAUCUUCGUCUUCUUCCUUCUCUUUAUUCUUUUCCUCCUUUCCCUCCGCUGACGUGUGUGUGGUGUUCCUUGACCGCCGUCAUGAGAAAGAGAAUAUGCAAGGUAGGUACAGCUCCUACUUGCGCAGGCUUUGACGUCAAAAUUUAAUGUAAUCAGUGUGUGUGUGUGUGUGUGUGUGUGUGUGUGUGGAAGAAACGGGAUCAUAACCGAAAACCAUAUGCAUAAUAUGCUAUACUAAUUUAUUAUGUAAGUUCAGUACUCCUCACACAUACUCAACACACAUCUUCAGUACGUACGUAUGUAUAUUCCUCUCAUCAUCAUUGUGAUGUACAGCUUACUGUAUAUUAUGAGAAAGAAUAAAUGAUUGACUGACUGACUACUACUACUACUACCAGUCUAAUAGCACAGGAAUAAAGUAAAACACUACUACUACUAUCAGUCUAAUAGCAUAGUAAUAAAGUAAAACAGUGAAUAAGUGUAAGAAAAGGAAAGUAAUUUUUAAAAUUGAAUGGUGUUUAAGUGAAUUGUUGAUAAGCUUGAUUAAUAAGAAAGGAAUACAUGUGAAGUAAGAAACAAUAAAUUAAGUCAUAGUAAGAGAAAAUAAAGAAACAUUAUGUAAAAAGUGAAGUGAAUGAGUAAAAUGUAUGUAAAAAAAAGUCAAAUCAAAUAAAAAGCCAAAAAUUAAAAUUGAAAAAUACUGUCUACUAAUUGUAGUGAUAAAAAAAAAAAGUACAAAGAUUGAUAAAAAGUAAGUAAGGAUAAAAGUAAGUAAGGAAAGUAAGGAAUGGAAGACAAAUAUGAAAUGAAUAGUAAAAGGAGUUAGAAAGUGAUAGCAAAAGAAGAAAAAAGAUGAUUAGGAAAAAGAGAAGAUCUCCACGACCACCACCACCACCACCACCAUUACCAGCUCGUUCAAGCCUGACCUGCACUAGUUCGCCGGAUCUGCUCCCAGGCCAGUGAGACUUCUAUAAAUAUGCUAAAGCUGCCAGCCGUGAUGCCGAGCAGAUCUCCAACAAGCAGUUCUUCAUGUUCACUCUGUUUUUUCAUCCAGUAAUGAUCAUCAUCCUACAUUCACCCUGUUGGAGAGGGAAGAGGAAGGAAUGGAACAGAGGUGUGACACUCCCCGCCAGCCACGCUCCUUACGCUCCUUUCUGAGUACAGAUGUCAUUGUUAAGGGCAGCUUCCUCCUUCUCCUCCUCCUCCUCCUUUUGAUUUACGUGUUUGGGUUCUUUCCUCGUGGUUAUAAGUGACGCCACUCUUCAGCAUCACACAGUCGUAGAAGAAACUGAUCCUUGGCUUCGAAAAAUUAAAAAGGCACUUGUACCUUGCUAUAACAUUGCACUACAACACUUAAACCAACAAGACUGUAAGAGUGUGACGACUUUCUGAGCGAGGAUCAUCCUUCCUGAUGCCUCGUAGUGCUCCAUCGCGGCCCUCAACCUCCCUCCAGCCCUCACAGCCCCGGAAUCCCGAACGAUCCCUUAAGUCUUAGGUCCAUAUUCUGAAACACUUCUGCCUGCACGUCGACUACUUUCAGAAGGCUUUAGUUGAAGUGAAGCGUGUCUCUAAGGGUAUCUUUAUGGUUCUAGUGACAGAUUAACAAGAAUUUUGCAUUAUUGAAUGGAGAAACACACUUGAGAACCCGACAAAUUGUUUUCAAAAGGGUGUAGUUAAAGUGACGCGGGUUUUUAAAAGAUGUUUUUUAAAGGUUUUGCUGAUAGGUGAACAAAAUAUUCAUGUUAUUAACUCGGGAAACACACUUGAAAACCCGGUAAUUAUUUUCAAGUCAGUAAUUGAAGUGACGCGAUAUUUAAAGAUGUUUUUCAAGGUUUUAGUGGUAGAUGAACAAGAUUUUUACAUUAUUGACAUCGGAAACACUUGAGAACCCUGCUAAUCACCUCUCUUACCUUUGAAAACAGUCACGUUGAGAGAGCAGUAUUUCUGAACACGGGUGAUGGCCCUGGUAGGUACAUCGCGUCUCUUUCUCCCUCCAGCCGUGAAAGCCUUGGGAGUUUGAACGAUCCUCUAAUCGCCUCCUACGGUGAGAUUUAAUCCGGGAGUUUACGAGUUCGCGUGGCCGAUCCUCCCUCCAAUCCCGGUCUUGUCUGUCUUAUGUUGUAAUUAAAGACUCGAAAUUAUGAUGUGGUGUUAAGUGUUUUCGCAGGUAAUAUAUUUAGUGUUUAUUGGAUAGAGGUGUAAGUUGUUAAUAAUGUAAGGUUGUAAAUUAAUGCUGCUUUUUUUUUAUUCAAGUUUUCUUACCUGACUCCUCUCUCUCUCUCUCUCUCUCUCUCUCUCUCUCUCUCUCUCUCUCUCUCUCUCUCUCUCUCUCUCUCUCUCUCUCUCUCUCUCUCUCUCUCUCUCUCUCUCUCUCUCUCUCUGUUUUUCCUUCCUCUCCUAUUAUCUCCCUCUUUUCCUCUCCCUCCCCUCCUCUUCUCUCCUCUUCUCUCUCUCUCUUUGCUUCUACUUUACCCAACCCUCCAAGUUUCUUCUUCCUCUUCCUCCCCUCUUCUUUUCUUCUCCCUUUUCCUCACAUCUUUCCUCUUCCCAUCCAGUUCCCCUCUUUCUCCUCACCCAGCUAUCCAAAUUUCUUCUGUCUCCUGUUUCGCUUUCCUGUUAUUGUUUUUCUCCCUUCUCCUCUCCCUUCCCCUCACGUUCUCUCACUCCCCUCUCACCUUUCCCCCUUCCCUCCUUAUCGCUCUCCUAUCUUCCCUUUUAUCUUCCCCUUCCUCUCUGUUUCUCUUUUCAUCCUAUCUUUUUUUCCCAUUUACUCCUUACUACGUCUCUCUCUCUCUCUCUCUCUCUCUCUCUCUCUCUCUCUCUCUCUCUCUCUCUCUCUCUCUCUCUCUCUCUCUCUCUCUCUCUCUCUCUCGGUCUCUUUUUUUCCUACCUCCCUCUCUUUCUCUGUUUUUUCCCUUCUCUUCUUUCACUCCUUCAUCCCCAUCUUGUAUUGAUCGGUGACACGUGCCAUGCAGUACGUGAAUAGUGAAUGAAAAUGGGGAAGGUACGUGUGUGUGUGUGUGUGUGUGUAUGUUUGUAGGGGGAGGGGUGAGUGUAGUUAUGUAGUUAGUGGUGAUGGUGAUGGUGAUUGGAUAUGAAUAAUGAAGAGUAUUGUAAGAGAUUGUGUGUGUGUGUGUGUGUGUGUGUGUGUGUGUGUGUGUGUGUGUGUGUGUGUGUGAGUGAGCUUGCAACUGAAGAAGGAUUACCAGAGCAUUGC